UUUUAUGUACUCUGGUAUUUGGUACAUUUCUUUCGUGAUGUCAAUGAUCAAUGCCCAUCUUGAAUGUAGUUUGACCAUUUCCCUGCAGUCCUUUCUGACUCGCCAACGGCUAGUCCCAUAAAAAGCCCAUUUUGACUAACUGUUGUUCACAUUUCACAUGUCUAUUCGUCUCAUAAAUACAGACCCUUACACCUUCCUUGAGGUCACCUUCAAGACCGCACACGCUACAGAUUUUGUGAACCAGAUCGAAUUCACGCGACCAAGAUGGCCUCCUCUUCUUCAGUCAACCAGGUAUUGCUACGUUUUCUCUAUUCGGAAUUGGUUAUCCUGAACCAAACCUUGACUCUUUGUUCCCUUUCCCAACCAAAUCAAGUGGACGAAUAGCUUGAACAGGUCAUCCAGAUUCUUCACUCCAAUGAGCCGCUCACCCAAGUGGACAAAGCUUUAAUCCAAGCUUAUCGUGAUCAAAUUAGAGACCAUUUGCCUGCGGAUGUCAAAUCGAUCUUGUCCUCAAUCGAAGCCGCAGGCUCAAACCAGCAAGCGCAGCAGUCAAUCCUUCGAAGCCACAACCUCCCCCCC
This 579-nucleotide long non-coding RNA is filed under the name Setaria viridis. RNAcentral describes it as "long non-coding RNA (SVIR_LNC005260)". The record is from RNAcentral. Lineage: Eukaryota; Viridiplantae; Streptophyta; Magnoliopsida; Poales; Poaceae.